AAAGGAAUUGACGGAAGAGCACCACAAGGUUGUGGAACUUGCGGUUUAAUUUGACUCAACACGGGAAAACUCACCAGGUCAGGACAUAAUAAGGAUUGACAGAUUAAUAGAUCUUUCAAAAUA
This 123-nucleotide ribosomal RNA is filed under the name Climacostomum virens. RNAcentral describes it as "partial Eukaryotic small subunit ribosomal RNA". It matches the Rfam family "Eukaryotic small subunit ribosomal RNA", at positions 1146 to 1267 of the family's 1831-position model. Lineage: Eukaryota; Ciliophora; Heterotrichea; Heterotrichida; Climacostomidae. The record is from RNAcentral.